Molecule: ribosomal RNA, 423 nt
Filed under: Enterobacter cloacae
Lineage: Bacteria; Pseudomonadati; Pseudomonadota; Gammaproteobacteria; Enterobacterales; Enterobacteriaceae
Description: bacterial SSU rRNA
Rfam family: Bacterial small subunit ribosomal RNA
Source: RNAcentral
GUAACAGGAAGCAGCUUGCUUGCUUUGCUGACGAGUGGCGGACGGGUGAGUAAUGUCUGGGAAACUGCCUGAUGGAGGGGGAUAACUACUGGAAACGGUAGCUAAUACCGCAUAACGUCGCAAGACCAAAGAGGGGGACCUUCGGGCCUCUUGCCAUCGGAUGUGCCCAGAUGGGAUUAGCUAGUAGGUGGGGUAACGGCUCACCUAGGCGACGAUCCCUAGCUGGUCUGAGAGGAUGACCAGCCACACUGGAACUGAGACACGGUCCAGACUCCUACGGGAGGCAGCAGUGGGGAAUAUUGCACAAUGGGCGCAAGCCUGAUGCAGCCAUGCCGCGUGUAUGAAGAAGGCCUUCGGGUUGUAAAGUACUUUCAGCGGGGAGGAAGGCGAUAAGGUUAAUAACCUUGUCGAUUGACGUUACCC